This is a long non-coding RNA of Mauremys reevesii (Reeves's turtle), 247 nucleotides long. RefSeq lists it as uncharacterized. NCBI's taxonomy places the organism in Eukaryota, Metazoa, Chordata, Testudines, Geoemydidae. The record is from RefSeq and is a predicted model, not a curated record. The transcript has 3 exons.
CAGCUCUGUUCUCAAGCUAAGCUGCUCAGCAUGGAAAAUCACACAGAGCUGGUCUAUUGUAUAGUUCAGCUAGCCCGUUCUUCUCCUGAUGAUCUGAUAGCCUUUCUGCACUCUCAGCUGAAGAUUGAGAAUGAGGCUGUUCGUGUGGCAUCUCUGAAUCUGCUCAGAGCUAUUGUUGGUGCUGACUUGCCCGAGACAAGACUGAAAAAGUUGCUGAUUGUGAAGGCAGUGAAAUCCACUUUCAGUG